RNAcentral lists this ribosomal RNA (484 nucleotides) under uncultured bacterium. Its description in RNAcentral is "partial 16S ribosomal RNA". It matches the Rfam family "Bacterial small subunit ribosomal RNA", at positions 29 to 507 of the family's 1533-position model. The record is from RNAcentral.
AUUGAACGCUGGCGGCAUGCUUUACACACGCAAGUCGAACGGCAGCGCGGGCUUCGGCCUGGCGGCGAGUGGCGAACGGGUGAGUAAUACAUCGGAACGUGCCCAGUAGUGGGGGAUAGCUCGGCGAAAGCCGGAUUAAUACCGCAUACGACCUGAGGGUGAAAGCGGGGGAUCUUCGGACCUCGCGCUAUUGGAGCGGCCGAUGGCAGAUUAGCUAGUUGGUGGGGUAAAGGCCUACCAAGGCGACGAUCUGUAGCUGGUCUGAGAGGACGACCAGCCACACUGGGACUGAGACACGGCCCAGACUCCUACGGGAGGCAGCAGUGGGGAAUUUUGGACAAUGGGCGAAAGCCUGAUCCAGCAAUGCCGCGUGUGUAAUGAAGGCCUUCGGGUUGUAAAGCACUUUUGGCGGGAACGAAAAGGACUGUGCCAAUACCACGGUUCGAUGACGGUACCCGCAGAAUAAGCACCGGCUAACUACGUG